AGAAAGACUCGCAAGAACAGAGGUUGGAUGGGAGACUAUUCCAAGCAGGUACAAAAGGGUGAAGUUGGCAUCCACCCCUUCCCAUGGGAAGGUCUCCGCCGACCUCUGUGUCUGUGGCUCACAGCAGAUGCCUUCAGCACCCAGGUGCUGACUCAGCCAGACACACUCCACAUCCUGGUCACCUGCUGUUUCCCAUUUAGCCGUAAGAAACAGCAGAUUCCUUGCGGUUAAAGAAGCCUAAGAAGGUUCCCUUGCAGAGGCUGAAGAGCGACUGCAUCACUAGCAGCCGGGGUCCCCGGGAAGCUGUCAUGAGGCCCGUGUUACCCAGCUCUCAGUGACAAAGCGAACGAGGCCGUGACCUGGGGAUGCCCAAAGAAUGUCACAGCAGAGAUGGUCACUAGGAUGACAAUCUCCAGGUCCAUCCAUGUACCAGUUUUUCAACUUGUGUCUAUAGCCAUGGAGCUCCUGAGUGACAGCCACUCAGCCCACUGCUCAGAGGCUUGUUACAGAAUUAAACGUGGUGUGUCCCUGAAGGGAAGUUGAACAAUUGUUUGAUGGCGUGCUAACAGAUGACGUGGAGCGGAUGUGUCCGGAGCACGGGGAAAGGAAGUGCACCUGCCUUGAGAAGCUGGAAAUGGAGCUGGGAGGACCUGGGCCUUAUUCACAAGAUUCUGUUUCCUGGGCUCAAGCCUUGGGACGUGGGCCUGUUGUCAGUGGACAAAGGGCCUUAAGUCAUCUUUGGCUCAGGCCAGGGAUGAGGCCAGGUUUGUGGCUUGCACUGAGGGCUUGUGCCUGCAGGACCCAAUGAAUGGAAGAAGGUGGUAGGACCAGGGGGUUUGAAAGAGCCCAGGAGAAGGGAGGGACCAAUUGAAAGAGUAACACUGAAACAUAUACAUUACCAUAUGUAAAAUAGAUAGCCUUGGGAAUCUGCUGUAUUUAUCAGGGGGCUCAAACCCAGGGCUAUGUGGCAACCUAAAGGGGUGGGAUGAGAUGGGAGCUGAGAGGGAUGUUCAAGACGGAGGGGACGUAUGUAUGUACCUAUGGCUGACUCAUGGUGAUGUACAGCAGGAACAGAAUAUGGUACAGCCGUUAUCCUCUAAUUAACAGUAAAUUUAUUUUUAAAAAUCUAAAAAAAAAAAAAAAAGAAUCCAGGAAUGGUGACAGGUAAGGAGGUGUGGUUCUUCUGCAGAAAAAGGGUGAAAAAUCGGGAGACAGGGUUUCUGGACCCUGCUGUUGGUUUUCUGUGAAAUUUGGGGCAGGUCACUUCCCCCGUCUGGGCCUUAGUUCUCCCACCGAAAAUGUGCCAUUGUUAUACAUUCUGGUACCAGAGCCCACGCUCUUAACACACUCUGCUGGCUCUCUUGUUGGACAUUGGAAACAGUCAUUUCUACUUAGCUUUGGUGAGCUUUGUCUUUCUUUCCAUUCCUAUGCUGUUUCUACUUAAUUUUUAUCUUCUUUCAAGACUACUGGUCUUGUCUUUUUAAUUUUGAUAUAAUGGUGAAUUGAAAUAAGUUAUUUAUAACUGUAGAUUAAUUGUACUGUUAGUAAGAAAAUUUGAAAGAUAAUCCUUGAUCAAACCAAUUUUAUAAUU
This is a long non-coding RNA of Dama dama (fallow deer), 1591 nucleotides long. RefSeq lists it as uncharacterized. The record is from RefSeq and is a predicted model, not a curated record. Lineage: Eukaryota; Metazoa; Chordata; Mammalia; Artiodactyla; Cervidae. The transcript is spliced from 6 exons.